Molecule: ribosomal RNA, 577 nt
Filed under: Penicillium sp.
Lineage: Eukaryota; Fungi; Ascomycota; Eurotiomycetes; Eurotiales; Aspergillaceae
Description: eukaryotic LSU rRNA
Source: RNAcentral
UUACCGAGUGAGGGCCCUCUGGGUCCAACCUCCCACCCGUGUUUAUUUUACCUUGUUGCUUCGGCGGGCCCGCCUUAACUGGCCGCCGGGGGGCUCACGCCCCCGGGCCCGCGCCCGCCGAAGACACCCUCGAACUCUGUCUGAAGAUUGAAGUCUGAGUGAAAAUAUAAAUUAUUUAAAACUUUCAACAACGGAUCUCUUGGUUCCGGCAUCGAUGAAGAACGCAGCGAAAUGCGAUACGUAAUGUGAAUUGCAAAUUCAGUGAAUCAUCGAGUCUUUGAACGCACAUUGCGCCCCCUGGUAUUCCGGGGGGCAUGCCUGUCCGAGCGUCAUUGCUGCCCUCAAGCCCGGCUUGUGUGUUGGGCCCCGUCCUCCGAUCUCCGGGGGACGGGCCCGAAAGGCAGCGGCGGCACCGCGUCCGGUCCUCGAGCGUAUGGGGCUUUGUCACCCGCUCUGUAGGCCCGGCCGGCGCUUGCCGAUCAACCCAAAUUUUUAUCCAGGUUGACCUCGGAUCAGGUAGGGAUACCCGCUGAACUUAAGCAUAUCAAUAAGCGGAGGAAARAAAACCCAACCAAAA